CCAAGGGGGCAGCCAGGAUGCCCUCUUGGUCCCUCCCUUCCAGCCCAAGAGCAACUCGGAUUUAGCUGCUUGAGCAAAAGCCCCCCUUCCUUAUGGAGGGGGGGCUUUUGGCUGCACCUUAUUCUCCCCCCACCCACCCAGUCCUCAGGACCAACAACAGGGCACGCCCUCAUGGAAGGUGAGCCACCUGCUUUCCAGGCGGCCGGACCCAGGCUGGCUUCCCUGCGGGCCCGUUCUGGGGCCCGGGUGGCCAGGCCAAAACUUGCCCGAACACCUGUGAUUCAGGUAUCGUGAUGCAGAGACGGGAGCCGUCUGCUCCUGCCUCCCUGGGCACAGGGCGCGCGCCCGGGCUGCGCAACCCAAGGGACUGGACUCGCUGGCUUUGGCGAGGGUGCCCAGGCCUUGCCCUCCUGGCGGUUUCUCAUCACGCUCAGCAAAGGGGAGCAGGUGAGGGCCGCUCCGAGGGUCCCUCCUCAAGCAGGAUGUGUGCUGGAACAACCCGCCAAAAGCACCACUUCGGGAGGUGGGAUCCUGGCUUUGGGCCUCCAGCGCAAAGCAGCUCUCGGAAUCUGAAAUCUGAGUGCUUCACGCUGCAUCCCGGCCUUCACAGGACGCUGACCGAGCGACGCCUGACUGCGACAAGCAGAUCCCCCCUGCCAGGGUGGCUCCGGCGCGCUUCAGAGGUAUAUGCCCUCUGUCUUCCUCUGUGAUUGAACUGCUUUCCUGGUUGGAUCCCUACUUCUGAUGUACUUAAAGAAGUUCUUAUUAUUUCUUAUGAUGCUUUUAUCAAUGUGCUUCUCAAAAUCUCUGUUUAGCAUUCCUGAUUGUCCCUUGCAUUUGUUUUGCCAGAAUUUAUAUUCCUUCCUGUUCUCCUCAUUAGGACAAACUAUCCAUUUUUUAAACAAGGUUUUCUUGCUUUUAAUGACCUCCCAUACUGAAUUUAUAAACCACACUAGUGUCCUCUUGGAUUUGGCAGUCCACUUUCUUCUUUUAGUUAUGCAUUCUAAUUGAACCUCCAUUAUUAUAUUUGUAACUAGUCUCCGUGCCUUUUGGAAUAAAUGGACUCUUCUAACUUUC
Molecule: long non-coding RNA, 1077 nt
Filed under: Salvator merianae (Argentine black and white tegu)
Lineage: Eukaryota; Metazoa; Chordata; Lepidosauria; Squamata; Teiidae
Description: lncRNA (ENSSMRG00000009167.1)
Source: RNAcentral